GGAGAGCGCGAGCGAGGGAGCGGGCGAGCUCCGAGGGGGUGUGGGUGUAGGGAGAGAGAGAAAGAGAGCAGCAGCGGCGGCGGCGGCAGCGGUGGGGAAAAGCGGAUUCCGCCCCGAACCACACCGAGGGGAGCUCGUGGUCGAGACUUGCCGCCCUAAGCACUCUCCCAAGUCCGACCCGCUCGGCGAGGACUUCCGUCUUCUGAGCGAACCUUGUCAAGCAAGCUGGGAUCUAUGAGUGGAAAGGUGACCAAGCCCAAAGAGGAGAAAGAUGCUUCUAAG
This 282-nucleotide long non-coding RNA is filed under the name Homo sapiens (human). RNAcentral describes it as "non-protein coding lnc-MCF2-3:1". Lineage: Eukaryota; Metazoa; Chordata; Mammalia; Primates; Hominidae. The record is from RNAcentral.